This 446-nucleotide ribosomal RNA is filed under the name uncultured bacterium. RNAcentral describes it as "partial 16S ribosomal RNA". It matches the Rfam family "Bacterial small subunit ribosomal RNA", at positions 338 to 795 of the family's 1533-position model. The record is from RNAcentral.
CCUACGGGUGGCAGCAGUCGAGAAUCAUUCACAAUGGGGGAAACCCUGAUGGUGCGACGCCGCGUGGGGGAAUGAAGGUCUUCGGAUUGUAAACCCCUGUCAUGUGGGAGCAAAUUAAAAAGAUAGUACCACAAGAGGAAGAGACGGCUAACUCUGUGCCAGCAGCCGCGGUAAUACAGAGGUCUCAAGCGUUGUUCGGAAUCACUGGGCGUAAAGGGUGCGUAGGCUGUUUCGUAAGUCGUGUGUGAAAGGCGAGGGCCCAACCCGCGGACGGCACAUGAUACUGCGGGACUAGAGGAAAGGAGGGGGAACCGGAAUUCUCGGUGUAGCAGUGAAAUGCGUAGAUAUCGGGAGGAACACUCGUGGCGAAGGCGGGUUCCUGGACAUUAACUGACGCUGAGGCACGAAGGCCAGGGGAGCGAAAGGGAUUAGAUACCCCUGUAGUC